RNAcentral lists this transfer RNA (82 nucleotides) under Dendronephthya gigantea. Its description in RNAcentral is "tRNA-Ser". It matches the Rfam family "tRNA". From Rfam's summary of the family: Transfer RNA (tRNA) molecules are approximately 80 nucleotides in length. Their secondary structure includes four short double-helical elements and three loops (D, anti-codon, and T loops). The record is from RNAcentral. Lineage: Eukaryota; Metazoa; Cnidaria; Anthozoa; Malacalcyonacea; Nephtheidae.
GUAGUCGUGGCCGAGUGGUCAAGGCGACAGACUUGAAAUCUGUUGGGAUGUUCCCGCGCAGGUUCAAAUCCUGCCGACUACG